This is a long non-coding RNA of Folsomia candida, 602 nucleotides long. RefSeq lists it as uncharacterized. The record is from RefSeq and is a predicted model, not a curated record. NCBI's taxonomy places the organism in Eukaryota, Metazoa, Arthropoda, Collembola, Entomobryomorpha, Isotomidae. The transcript is spliced from 3 exons.
UUUAGAGUCCCCUCAUUCCCUGCCUUUCUGUGGAGGAGUGCGAUACUCUACUUUUUUGUGGGAUAGUUGGACAAGUUUUGUUAGGAGUUUGAAGGAAGACGAGUGACUUAGCGGGAGGUAACCAGAAUUUAUAAAAUACCAGCUGAAUAAAAUAUUUUGAGAGGUAUUCAUAUUUUCUGGAAAUAUAUCAAGGAAAGAAAUCAUGUCUUAUGUCCCCACGUCUUUGGAGCUGAAUUACUAUUUGAAAUGCUUCGUCUGCCGGGAAAUGUUCACUGGGCAGGUCAGCCAGUGCAAGAAUGGGCACAAUGUCUGCUCCGGACACGUUUCCAGUCUGGGGAAUAAGUGUGCCCAGUGCAACGCUUCCUUUCUGGAAACGCGGAACUUUUUGGCGGAAAAUCUCGUCAGGUCGGGAUAGGAUCCAGAGGGAGAUUCGCCGCAGUGGGGAAGAUAUGACGUACACUGUUGUGAUUGCCGCUACAGUUUUUGCGGCGGUGGCGUAUGGGUUUUUCCUUGCUAGGAUUGGAAAAUCCUGAUUUUUUUAUGGAAACUUACAUAAAUAAUGGAAAGAAAUUGUGGGAUUUUUUGGAGAUUAUGGAUUUAUG